Molecule: non-coding RNA, 19 nt
Filed under: Arabidopsis thaliana (thale cress)
Lineage: Eukaryota; Viridiplantae; Streptophyta; Magnoliopsida; Brassicales; Brassicaceae
Source: RNAcentral
CUAACGCAAUGUGAUUUCU